Molecule: transfer RNA, 76 nt
Filed under: Pseudomonas aeruginosa
Lineage: Bacteria; Pseudomonadati; Pseudomonadota; Gammaproteobacteria; Pseudomonadales; Pseudomonadaceae
Description: tRNA-Gly
Source: RNAcentral
GAGACUCGAACUCGCGACCCCGACCUUGGCAAGGUCGUGCUCUACCAACUGAGCUAUUCCCGCGUUACAACUUGUU